AGUUCGGACUGCAGUCUGCAACUCGACUGCACGAAGCUGGAAUCGCUAGUAAUCGCGGAUCAGCACGCCGCGGUGAAUACGUUCCCGGGCCUUGUACACACCGCCCGUCACACCAUGGGAGUCGGUAACACCCGAAGUCAGUAGUCCAACCUCGUGAGGACGCUGCCGAAGGUAGGAUUGGCGACUGGGGUGAAGUCGUAACAAGGUACC
Molecule: ribosomal RNA, 210 nt
Filed under: uncultured bacterium
Lineage: Bacteria
Description: partial 16S ribosomal RNA
Rfam family: Bacterial small subunit ribosomal RNA
Source: RNAcentral